GGUGAGGUGGCAGAGCGGUUGAAUGCUCCGGUCUUGAAAACCGGCGAAGGGGCAACUCUUCCGUGGGUUCGAAUCCCACCCUCACCGCCA
RNAcentral lists this transfer RNA (90 nucleotides) under Paracoccaceae bacterium. RNAcentral describes it as "Rhodobacteraceae bacterium tRNA-Ser". It matches the Rfam family "tRNA". From Rfam's summary of the family: Transfer RNA (tRNA) molecules are approximately 80 nucleotides in length. Their secondary structure includes four short double-helical elements and three loops (D, anti-codon, and T loops). The record is from RNAcentral. Lineage: Bacteria; Pseudomonadati; Pseudomonadota; Alphaproteobacteria; Rhodobacterales; Paracoccaceae.